Molecule: non-coding RNA, 1376 nt
Organism: Meleagris gallopavo (turkey)
Lineage: Eukaryota; Metazoa; Chordata; Aves; Galliformes; Phasianidae
Source: RefSeq, a predicted model, not a curated record
AUUACUUUGGGCUCAUUUGCUCUCUGGACCCAAGCACUUGGCUCCUGGCUACAGAACUUGAAGUAUAAAGGUCUCCCUAAAGAGCAAGGAAAGCCCAAACUCACCGAUAGUAAAUGAAAGCCUUCUGAGAAUAAAAUCCUGAAGAAAACUGUACUACAACUAAAUUACAUGCUGUAUGAGCUUUGGCACUGAAUCUCACAAAGUUUAUGAAAUUACUGCACGCAGCUUCGUAAGGAAUCAUGAACAGUGAAGAAAGACCUGGCACUAAUUCACACCACACUGUGCUACACGGCGCUCCUGGCUGCAUCGCACCUGUUGAUGUUUAUGUGCCAAGGUACAUUACGCCAACUGCAAUGGCAAGGAAGGUACGGCUGCAGCUGAGCCUGCAAACAGGACAGCUGCAUCUCAGGGAGCACUGCUCUCCAGCAGCAGGCCAGGAACCCGCUUCGACCGCUGGAGCAAAAGUAGAGGAGUCCCUGCAGCAGCCUGCAAUCUUGGUUUAUCUGGGCAGCCAGUGUUCUGCAGGAGUGGCAGCAUAAGCUCCUUACAGAGACAAGCUUUCAGAUCCUGUAGGAUCUCAAAUAACUCUUCAGGAGCUGCUGUUCUCACUCAUUGCUUCUGGUAAAGCAGAUAAGAAAGGCAUCCAAUGAAAUGAUCAGGCAGCAUAUUUGAAACAAGUGAACCUGUUUUAAGAAGAACAAAAUGAGAUAAGAGCCUUGAUAAUUAAGUUAUUGCUGCUUACCUUUUGCUGAAUUCAAAGUCCCCUGCAUUAACAGGAGCUCAGGGAACAGCUUCCCUGCCUGUGACAUCCCAGCCAUUCAUCUGAGGUUUUUUGGAGCAUCAGUACUGAACCUCUACAGCAAGCUCAGAUAGUCAGCUCCAACCAGGAGUUUUCUCCCAUAGGUAAUUUCAAGCACUCCUGCUGCAGUUUAAAAUGGUGUACCUUUCUGUUUGGUGUCCUGAUUAGUGAGUAUCUACUGCACUGAAUGCAUGAUGGCUGUAACUGUAUCCAGGAGCUUUAAGAAGCAGCUGUAUUUUUAUUAUGAGCCCACUGUAAAUUGUGUGUCGUGCAGUAGUUUUCCCCUUAGCAAGGUCCCUUUUCUCACUGAAGACACCUGUGGUUGCAAAUCUAAUAGAACCUAAUAGAACUCGAUCCCGUAGCCGUAUAGCUCUCAAAUAUAGAUUGGGUGUGUCAGUAGGUUCAGAAGGUACUAGGAACAUAUGAACAUGCUCAGUAUAAAAAGCCAGAAUAAAACUAGUACUUCUUUCCUUUCUUUUCUCUUUUUAUUUUCCUUAGUUUCAGAUUUGUUCUACACAUCAAAUCUUUGCUCCCCAGACAAGGUUUGGUGAUGUCUCACAUGCAGUAGUAGUCUAAG